AAAAAGAUAAACACUGGAUUUCCGUGUCCAAUUUUGACUGUUAGUCUUAUAAAUAUUUUUUUUAUAAUUUGUAUUUUCAUUGUUGUUAGAUGAUAAAACAUGAUUAAUAUUUUAUGCGUGACUUGUCUUUUAAAUUUUUUUUAUAAUUUUUUCAAAUAAGACGGACGGUUAAACGUUGGGCAUGGAAACCAGGGUUUGUCUUUUU
Molecule: microRNA precursor, 205 nt
Organism: Oryza sativa Indica Group (long-grained rice)
Lineage: Eukaryota; Viridiplantae; Streptophyta; Magnoliopsida; Poales; Poaceae
Rfam family: MIR812 microRNA precursor family
Source: Rfam